AUGACGAGUGGCGGACGGGUGAGUAAUGCUUGGGAACUUGCCUUUGCGAGGGGGAUAACAGUUGGAAACGACUGCUAAUACCGCAUAAUGUCUUCGGACCAAACGGGGCUUCGGCUCCGGCGCAAAGAGAGGCCCAAGUGAGAUUAGCUAGUUGGUAAGGUAACGGCUUACCAAGGCGACGAUCUCUAGCUGUUCUGAGAGGAAGAUCAGCCACACUGGGACUGAGACACGGCCCAGACUCCUACGGGAGGCAGCAGUGGGGAAUAUUGCACAAUGGGGGAAACCCUGAUGCAGCCAUGCCGCGUGUGUGAAGAAGGCCUUCGGGUUGUAAAGCACUUUCAGUUGUGAGGAAAAGUUAGUAGUUAAUACCUGCUAGCCGUGACGUUAACAACAGAAGAAGCACCGGCUAACUCCGUGCCAGCAGCCGCGGUAAUACGGAGGGUGCGAGCGUUAAUCGGAAUUACUGGGCGUAAAGCGCACGCAGGCGGUUUGUUAAGCUAGAUGUGAAAGCCCCGGGCUCAACCUGGGAUGGUCAUUUAGAACUGGCAGACUAGAGUCUUGGAGAGGGGAGUGGAAUUCCAGGUGUAGCGGUGAAAUGCGUAGAUAUCUGGAGGAACAUCAGUGGCGAAGGCGACUCCCUGGCCAAAGAC
Molecule: ribosomal RNA, 650 nt
Filed under: Alteromonas macleodii
Lineage: Bacteria; Pseudomonadati; Pseudomonadota; Gammaproteobacteria; Alteromonadales; Alteromonadaceae
Description: bacterial SSU rRNA
Rfam family: Bacterial small subunit ribosomal RNA
Source: RNAcentral